AUUCGCGGCCUAUCAGCUUGUUGGAGAGGUAACGGCUCACCAAGGCAUCGACGGGUAGCUGGUCUGAGAGGAUGAUCAGCCACACUGGGACUGAGACACGGCCCAGACUCCUACGGGAGGCAGCAGUGGGGAAUCUUGCACAAUGGACGAAAGCCUGAUGCAGCAACGCCGCGUGCGGGAUGAAGGCCCUAGGGUUGUAAACCGCUUUCAGUAGGGAAGAAAAUGACGGUACCUACAGAAGAAGGUGCGGCCAACUACGUGCCAGCAGCCGCGGUGACACGUAGGCACCAAGCGUUAUCCGGAUUUAUUGGGCGUAAAGAGCUCGUAGGCGGUUUGGUAAGUCGGGUGUGAAAACUCUGGGCUCAACCCAGAGAGGCCACCCGAUACUGCUAUGACUAGAGUACGGUAGGGGAGCGGGGAAUUCAUGGUGUAGCGGUGAAAUGCGCAGAUAUCAUGAGGAACACCAGCGGCGAAGGCGCCGCUCUGGGCCGUAACUGACGCUGAGGAGCGAAAGCAUGGGUAGCAAACAGGAUUAGAUACCCUGGUAGUCCAUGCCGUAAACGUUGGGCACUAGGUGUGGGUCUCAACCAACGAGAUCCGCGCCGUCGCUAACGCAUUAAGUGCCCCGCCUGGGGAGUACGGAAUCGUCGACCCCGCCCGGCCCCACG
This 668-nucleotide ribosomal RNA is filed under the name uncultured actinomycete. RNAcentral describes it as "bacterial SSU rRNA". It matches the Rfam family "Bacterial small subunit ribosomal RNA", at positions 229 to 906 of the family's 1533-position model. Lineage: Bacteria; Bacillati; Actinomycetota; Actinomycetes; Actinomycetales. The record is from RNAcentral.